AAUUAUUUGAUUAUUAUUUGCAUUGUUAUUGCUUCCCAUUGUUGUUAUUGUGUUUCGUAAUUCCAUAUGUCGACGACGACGACAUCGCCAGCAGAAGGGAACGUGACAACGUCGCGUCGCAGUCGACGUCGACGUUGUCGUUGUCUGGCAGCGAUGCGAUAACUCAAUUUUGUAUGGGAAAUUAGAAAAUUCCCAAAUAAUUUCACACUCGAGUUGAUAGGGUCCAGGCAUGUGUGUAUGUGUGUGUGAGUGUGUGUGAG
Molecule: long non-coding RNA, 260 nt
Organism: Drosophila navojoa
Lineage: Eukaryota; Metazoa; Arthropoda; Insecta; Diptera; Drosophilidae
Source: RefSeq, a predicted model, not a curated record